RNAcentral lists this long non-coding RNA (1391 nucleotides) under Cairina moschata (Muscovy duck). Its description in RNAcentral is "domestica (muscovy Duck (domestic type)) lncRNA (ENSCMMG00000007784.1)". The record is from RNAcentral. Lineage: Eukaryota; Metazoa; Chordata; Aves; Anseriformes; Anatidae.
AUGUUGUGGCUUUAACAUUUUAUGCAACUAUUUAUGAGGACCUCUGUUGUAACUGUAAUAAAUAUAUAGAAAAAGCACAUACUUAGUACGGCGAGCUUUAUGGUUUUGUUUGUGUGUUUGGGGUUUUUGGGUGGGCAGGGGAGGGUGUUGUACCACACUGUCAUUAUUAGUUUAAGAUGAGGGUUAGCGUAGAAUUUAGUCAAGACUAGUCAGUUUUAAGGAUUGUUUAAAAGAGAGAGAGAGAGAGAGAGAGAGAGAGAGAGAGAGAGAGAUUCGUAUCCCAAAUCUCCAACCAGUUAAAAAAUAGGGUGACACUUUUUAAAAUUUAUUAUUAUAUUCAAAAUGCCAAAGUAUGACUUUCCCAAAAUCAGUCUCAACACUUGCUACUUUUUAAGAAUUUUCAAAGCUGUUUACUUCUUUCUGUGAAAUGAACAAAUGACUUUUGUGCUCUUUGGUGAAGAAUUACAUUCAAAAAAGUAGUGGUCAGAUGAUGAGAGUCUGACACGUAAUGUAAUUGUCUUAGUAACUGUUUUUAAGGUUGAAGUAAUAUUAACGUGAGCUAUUUAAGAAGACAGAGAUGGUUUUCUGUGCAUCACUGAGUUCAUAUGGGUGUGCUGUCAUCUAUGUUUGUGUGAAAUGCCAUGUUUAAAGAAACCAAGCCGACGUCCCACAGUAGUUAGAUACAUGGGUCUUAAGCCAUAACCUAGCUUGGGUUAGUUUUGAGCUUUGCGGCUUCCACUGUAUUCUAUUUAUUCCUUUUUUUUUUUUUUUUUUUUUUUUUUGUAAAGUUGUACAGAAACUUUUUAAAAGAAAACAACUGACUUCAGAACUGGAUGUGUAUUCGUACCAACCUCAUAUCAUUAUGUUUGUGUAUUAUUUUCCUUUAUUGUUUUAGUUAAAUUUUUGCUUUAUUUUGCAUGUAUAUUUCUUUGUACAGUGACGUUACAUGUUUACACAGUAUGACGUGAUGUAAAUACUUUAUUUUGCCAUCAGUUAUUUUGAAAAAAAUUAAACAUAUUUGACAUAUUUGUCUGAUCUCUUGCUUUAAGGAGUUUGAAAGUAGGUUUGGUUAUAUUUUAAUUUGGCUCUGUAUUGGGGAAAAAAAAAAAAAGUACAUUGUUUUAUUGCCAUAGAAUUCAUUUUAAUUUGCAAUGAUGUAUCUUUAUUUCAUGCCUUACAAAAUAAUAUUUGCCUUUGCUCUAAGUGUUGAGUGCUUUGUAGCGUCCUGAUUGCUUUCAUAUAAAACAUGCAUAACGCUGUGACUGUGGAAAUUCAUUACAGUCUUUAUUAGCCAGUAAAUUCUGAUCAGCAGAGUUUUCUUCCAGAUGUUCCCAAUUAAAGACCAAAGGAUUACGAUUUGGUUUAAUAUUAAGCCAGGGAACAAAUUUCCC